UUAAUUUGUUGGAUUUUCUAUUUAGGUCUUGUUCUUGUUUAUUUGCUAAAUUGUUGUUGUGUAUUUGUUGCCUUUGAGAUUCUUGCUGGAUAUUGGUGAUCAUUGAUUUAUUAUAUGCUUCAUGUUUUCAUUGUUUUCUUCUUCUGAAGGAAAAAAAAAUUCUGUUUUCAUUGUUUUGUUGAUUGUUUAUUUUGUUUCAGAAAUUAAUUUUUUGUGAUCAAUGCUCAAACUCUAAAUGCUGUUCUGUUGGUUUUUGCAGUGUUUGUUUUGUUUCAGAAAUCAAUGCUCAAACUCUGAAUGUUGUUCUUCUGUUUUUUGUUUUGUUUCAUAAAUCAAUAUUUUGUGAUCAAUGCUCAAACUCUGAAUGUUGUUCUGCUGUUUUUGUUGUUUCAGAAAUCAAUUUUUUGUGAUUAAUGCUCAUACUCUGAAUGUUGUUCUGUUUUGUUUUAAGGCUGAGUUUAGAAGAGGUGAUUGAAUUCUGAGUGUUGUUUUGUUUUUGUUUUAAAGCUGUGUGUUGUGUUCAAUUUUCAUUUUGUAGGAAAUUCUGAGGUAUAUAAGAAUUAAGAAGGAAGACUAUUUUAACGGUAUUAUUCUGUUGAUUCUGGUAUGCUACAAGCUUGAACAUAGAAUUGAAGAGAGAAACCCUUUAUUAUUUUAUCAUUGGCCUAUUUUUGGCAUUGCAUAUCAUUGUAGUUUGUUUAUUCAUAGAACUAGUUGUUUAUGAUCCCCUUUCGAAGUAAAAAAAUGCAGUGGAAGAGUGUUUAGAACCAGUUGCUUUAUUCAUUGAAUUUUUAUAGAAUCAGGUGUUUAUUAUAAAACGGUUUUUUCGGUUGAACCAUGGUUGAACCAAUGAAUUAGUGAAUCAGUAAUGAGCGGUUCGAUGACCGGUCCGGUUUUCUGAACCUCGGUUUUGAGUUCACUUCACUUCACUUUUGGAUCAGUGAAAAUGGCUCUAACCGUCAAGCUGCCAAUACGGUUCCCAAUUUCCGCGCCAAUUAUCGACCCGUAUCCGACCCAUGAACCGACCCAAAUAUCCACAGAGGUCAGAUUCUCUCGUUGGAACAACGCCAAUGCCGCCAAGUUCAACGAGCGCCGGCGAACCCAGCAGGAAAUCGAGGAUGAGAUACGCCGCACGCGCCGCUUCGACUCUGCCGACAAAAUCGCCGAAACCGCCGAGACUUCCGCCGUUUCCAGCGCCACCGUUAAAACCUUCAAAUCCGCUGGGACGCCCUCCGCUCCGUCGAGGCCUUCCAUCCCCGGCAGGAAAUCGAAGUACUCCAAACCGCCGGCGGAGCCCCCGUGGGAUUCUCAUGCGGCGGUUAGGUUUUCCAGCACCCCGAAUUCGAAUCCAAGCAGGACUCAAUUGGCACCAGCAAACGUGAGAAUCGGCGACGACGGAGUCUCCUACGUGGUUGAAGGCGCACCGUUCGAGUUUCGGUACAGCUACACGGAAACGCCAGCGGCGAAGCCGGUGAAGAUUCGGGAGCCAUCGUACGUGCCGUUCGGACCAGCGACGAUGCCGCGGCCAUGGACCGGACGGGCACCGCUGCCGACGAGCAAGAAGAAGUUGAGGGAAUUCGACUCGUUCGUUCUGCCGCCGGCAGACAAGAAGGGGGUGAAGCCCGUCCAGAAGCCCGGGCCCUUUUUACCCGGAUCGGGCCCGAAACACGUGCAGUCAAAGGAAGAGUUGUUGGGGGAGCCAUUGACGAAGGAAGAGAUCAAUGCGUUGGUUGCCGGCACCGUCAAAUCUGCCCGCCAGCUCAAUAUUGGUAGAGAUGGUUUGACACAUAACAUGUUGGAGAAUAUACAUGCUCUUUGGAAACGACGGAGAGUGUGCAAGAUAAAGUGCAAAGGAGUGUGCACCGUCGACAUGGAUAAUGUGUGCCAACAGUUAGAGGAAAGGACUGGGGGAAAAAUCAUUCAUAGGAAAAGUGGUACGGUAUACCUCUUCCGGGGCAGAAACUACAACUAUAGAACACGCCAACGUUUUCCUCUGAUGCUGUGGAAACCUGUAUCUCCAGUAUAUCCUAGGUUGGUUAAGCGAGUUCCAGAAGGCCUAACACUAGAAGAAGCAACUGAAUUUCGUCGGAAGGGAAGGAACUUGGAACCGAUAUUCAAGCUGGCAAAAAAUGGUGUUUACUGUGACCUUGUAGCAAAUGUCAGAGAGGCUUUUGAAGAGUGUGAACUAGUGCGAAUAAAUUGUCAAGGACUAAAUGAAAGUGAUUAUCGAAGGAUUGGAGGAAAACUAAGGGAUCUUGUUCCAUGCAUAUUGCUCUCAUUUGAGAAUGAACACAUACUUAUGUGGAGGGGAAAAAAGUGGAGGUCCUCUUUCCCAGGUCUCGAAGAUGAUUACAAUGAAGCCAAUAAAAUUGAUGUUGACAGUGACAAUUCCAAUACACCGACUUCAGAUGCCCCAGAAUUGUCUGAAAUGCCACAGGAGAAUUCAUUAGAGCAUCUAAGCAGUGAAUCUUAUGACACUAGUAUUUCUUCGAGUUCAGAUGAUGUGAGUUUCUCUCAAGCUGAGGUGCCUUACCCUAUAGAAGAUAGCAAUCCACCUUUCUCGAUGGUUACCGAUGCUGCUUCACUUUCUAUGGGAACCUGUGAAGUUGAAACCACAGAUGAUGUCAGGGGUUCUCCACCUUCUGAUAGCACAAAAUCAAGUGUUUCUGUGCUGGAAAGUUGUGAGAAUUCUAUUGAUGGCAAGUUAGAUCCUUCUACAGAUGGGUUGCUAGAUAGUUCAAGUGCAGCUGAUGAAAGUUUAAUUUCAAUAUCAUCUGCAUCUUGCACAGAAGGAGUUAUGUUACUGUGGGAGCAAGCUGUUGAGAAAGGUAGUGCACUUGUUUUAGAUGACAGAUCUUUGGAUGCUGACAAUGUUUAUCAAACCGCAGUGGCUUUUGCCAAAUCAGCUCCCCCAGGGCCUGUUUUUAGCCGAUCUAGAAAGGUUAGGGUUCAAAAUAAUGACGAGCAAGAAGAUUCAACUUUUGAGAAAAAAGAAGUUACCACUGUUGUGAUUGAAGGUGAAAUGGAGAACACUCAGAAGAGUUCCGAAAUUUGAAGAAAAGAUUUUGAUGAGCGACAGAGGAAUGUAGUGCCACAGGGAACAAGAGUAGAUGAACUUGUGAGACUUCUGACAUGAUACCACCAAAAUUUUAUGAGAAACAGAACCAGAAUUCCUCUUCCUGCCAAUGAAGUUCCUCUUUUUCUUUCACAAGUCUUGACGAAGAAAUAAAGAAAGGGCAAAGGAAUAGACAAGUGAAUUCUCAAUAUGAACUCCAAUCAAUGGAUCAGGAGACACCUAACAGCCUUGCGGAACCAGGCAAACUUGAAGAGGCAAGAUGGGUGCUAGGGAGAGUUAGAGCCAAGAGGUAUCGAGAUUAUGGAAGCCAAAUUUCAUGCUAGGCUCUUCUGUUUGUUAGUUCUUAUUUAUCCGAACUUUUGUUGCUCAAAUGAUAGCCUACCUCCAAAUGACACACAUAUUCCUACAAAUGUGCCCUAUCCAUGCUGCAUAUUCUCCACAGCACCUCACGCACACCCUUCUGCUGAGUCAGCAAGUCAGUUACGCUGAUCCUGCCCCCACCAGAUGAUUCUUCUAAACCUGCCCCACAUUUUCCUUAACCCAUUUACCUUUUUCUUCACAUCUUAUAUCUUCAGCUGCAUACUUUCUUAUAAGGUGCAUUACAACUUAGGUUCUUAAUCUCAAAUUCUUGACCAUUUUAAACCUUAUUACGUGAUAAGAUGUUAACCUAACAUGUAUUACAUGAACAGAAAUUUUAACAGAAUAGAGGAGGAAUAUAAAUGAAAAACCAUUUAAAACAAUGAUAUAAAAUUAUAUACAACCCCCCCUCCCCUCUUCUCUUUUUUUCUCUCUCUUCUCAUGAUAGUACCUAGAAGGCAACAAUGAGUCUUCAAGGCUACAAAUGUCGCAAACAUUCCCUGAAGUCUCUACAUAUUAUACAGGGACAGUCCCGAAAAAACACAUAUACAUCACAGAACAAAAACAAGACACCAAAAGCACAAAAUUACCUAUAAGAUAUGUAAAAGAAAAGAAUAAUCCUAAAAAAUCUAAGAGGACACACUUCAAACAAACAGACCAUCUGAGAACAGCAUAAUUAGACACUCCCACAAAUGUUGGCCUUGUUAUUCCUGCCAAAACCUUAAAAACAUGUCAUAAUAAAUUUUUACAGUAUGGCCUCAUAGAAAUGGAGACCGCUAACAGUUCAGAUCAUUUCUUAGUGUCAUUCAUUACCGAAAUAACUGUACCCAUAAUAUUGUGAGCUUAAUUCUUGACAUUGAAAAAAAAAA
Non-coding RNA from Arachis ipaensis, 4302 nucleotides. The record is from RefSeq and is a predicted model, not a curated record. NCBI's taxonomy places the organism in Eukaryota, Viridiplantae, Streptophyta, Magnoliopsida, Fabales, Fabaceae.